ACUGACUCCUUGACAACAAAAAACACAUAAAAUAAAACCCUAAACCCUGCGAUUGUUUGAACGAAGGAAGAAGAGAAGAAUGGGAAAAGUUCCUCCUUCAUUUCGUUCAGCAUUAUCCAAUCCAAACUUGUUUAACCGAUCUCAAUUGGUUCCAUCCAAUUCUUCUCCCAAACCCCAAUAUUUUCCCAAGAAAAACCCUCCCCCAAAAUCCCGUAAACCUAUUCUUCCUCCAAAACCAAAAUCCAUCUCUCUAUUCAAAUCCCCAAAUCUCCAAGACGCCAAAAAUAUCUUCAAUUCCAUCCUUAAAACCUCAAAAGCCGCCAAUGAUUCCCGCUUCCACAAUUCCCUUCUUCAAUCCUACGCUUCUAUUUCCACCAUUAACGAUUCAAUCGCUUUUCUUCUUCAUAUGACAAAGACUCAUCCUUCAUUCUCCCCUGACAAAUCCACUUACCAUAUCUUGCUUACUCAAUCAUGCAAAUCCUCUGAUUCCACACUUUCCCCAAUUCAUCAAAUCCUAAAUUUGAUGGUUUCUCAUGGCCUCACUCCUGAUCAAGUUACUGUUGAUUUAUCUGUUAGGGCACUUUGUUCCGCUGAUCGUGUUGACGAUGCUGUUCAAUUGAUCUUAGAAUUGUCUUCCAAGCAUUGUUGCCCUGACAUUUACACUUUCAAUUUCCUUGUUAAGAAUCUCUGUAAGUCUCGCACUUUGAGUACUGUCUAUAAUUUCAUUGAUGAAAUGCGUACUACAUUCGAUGUCAAGCCUGAUCUUGUUACUUAUACUAUUUUGAUUGAUAAUGUAUGUAACACUAAGAAUUUGCGUGAGGCAAUGAGGUUAGUGGAGAUUCUCGAUAAGGAAGGUUUUAAGCCGGAUCGUUUUCUUUACAAUACAAUUAUGAAAGGUUUUUGUAUGUUGGGUAGAGGGACUGAGGCAGUUGAAAUUUAUAAUAAAAUGAAGGAGAAAGGGGUGGAGCCUGAUCUUGUAACUUAUAACACUUUGAUUUAUGGCUUAUCAAAAUCUGGACGGGUCUCGGAAGCUAAGAAGUUAUUGCGUGUUAUGGUGGAAAGGGGUCAUUUCCCUGAUGAGAUAACUUAUACGACUUUGAUGAAUGGGAUGUGCAGGAAAGGUGAGACCUUGGUUGCUUUAGCAUUGUUGGAAGAGAUGGAAAGGAAGGGCUGCACUCCAAAUUCGUGCACGUAUAAUACGCUGUUACAUGGGUUGUGUAAGUCUAGGAUCUUUGAUAAGGCCAUGGAAUUGUAUGGUGUGAUGAAAUCCGGUGAUUUGAAGCUUGAUAUGGCUUCUUAUGCUACAUUUGUCAGGGCUCUAUGUAGCGUUGGUAGAAUUGCAGAUGCUUAUGAAGUGUUUGAUUAUGCAGUUGAAAGCAAGAGUUUGACAGACGUUGCUGCUUACUCAACAUUGGAGAGCACGCUUAAAUGGUUCAAGAAAGCAAAAGAAGAAGGCCUUCAAGUUUAAUCGAAUGUUAAUGGGCCGCUGGAAGUGCUGUUGAAGCUUCGUUUAGAGUUCAUUUGGAAUACCUGUCUAGAACAUUUGCAUUGCUGGAUCAGCUGGGUUUAACAGAAAGUUGGAUGAAUAUAGCUCAAGAGUGAGUGUGGUCUUUCCCGUUUACAAAAUUUGGUACUUCCAAGUGUACACAUUCCACUGUAUAAACACUGCUACAGUAUGUAGUGCUUCCAAUGUGAUACUUCUUUUAUUGUCAUCUCUAUUCUAAGCGAAACUUUAGGAGGUUUGUGUCAAUGCUGGCAAGGAUGUAGAAGUUAAUUUCAAAGGUUACAGUCCUUACUCAAUACAGUGCAUUCCAAAGCCGCUAAUACAAUUUUUGUAUGUACUUGAUUACAAGUAUAAUUUUCCCAGUUUUUUCUGUAAUAUUUUGUUCCAGCGAGCCCCUGUAAGCAGUUAUUUUUAAUUUAUCAAUAUUCAUUUCAGUGUCAUACGCUUUUCUUGUACCAUUGUAUUUGUAUUGUCUUUGUAUGCGACGCGCAUAUAGAUAUGAAAUCAUAAAUACUUUUUCAAUCAUAUAAGAAAGAUGAUUGAGAUAUGAGGAGAGGAAGUUAGGAUACUGGCUCUUUGUGCUUGUGUUUUCUUUUUUGUGUUUGUGGCUGUGCAUGAGAGAGAAGGAGAUAUAAACUUCUAUCAUUCUGCCUA
Trifolium pratense (red clover) is the source of this 2158-nucleotide RNA transcript. It is a transcript of the gene named pentatricopeptide repeat-containing protein At2g17670, with no coding region annotated. The transcript is spliced from 4 exons. NCBI's taxonomy places the organism in Eukaryota, Viridiplantae, Streptophyta, Magnoliopsida, Fabales, Fabaceae. The record is from RefSeq and is a predicted model, not a curated record.